Molecule: ribosomal RNA, 1362 nt
Filed under: Mycobacterium sp. DWMJ-1162A1
Lineage: Bacteria; Bacillati; Actinomycetota; Actinomycetes; Mycobacteriales; Mycobacteriaceae
Description: bacterial SSU rRNA
Rfam family: Bacterial small subunit ribosomal RNA
Source: RNAcentral
UUCGGAGGUACUCGAGUGGCGAACGGGUGAGUAACACGUGGGCAAUCUGCCCUGCACUUCGGGAUAAGCCUGGGAAACUGGGUCUAAUACCGGAUAGGACCUCAAGACGCAUGUCUUCUGGUGGAAAGCUUUUGCGGUGUGGGAUGGGCCCGCGGCCUAUCAGCUUGUUGGUGGGGUGACGGCCUACCAAGGCGACGACGGGUAGCCGGCCUGAGAGGGUGUCCGGCCACACUGGGACUGAGAUACGGCCCAGACUCCUACGGGAGGCAGCAGUGGGGAAUAUUGCACAAUGGGCGCAAGCCUGAUGCAGCGACGCCGCGUGGGGGAUGACGGCCUUUCGGGUUGUAAACCUCUUUCACCAUCGACGAAGGUCCGGGUUUUCUCGGAUUGACGGUAGGUGGAGAAGAAGCACCGGCCAACUACGUGCCAGCAGCCGCGGUAAUACGUAGGGUGCGAGCGUUGUCCGGAAUUACUGGGCGUAAAGAGCUCGUAGGUGGUUUGUCGCGUUGUUCGUGAAAUCUCACGGCUUAACUGUGAGCGUGCGGGCGAUACGGGCAGACUAGAGUACUGCAGGGGAGACUGGAAUUCCUGGUGUAGCGGUGGAAUGCGCAGAUAUCAGGAGGAACACCGGUGGCGAAGGCGGGUCUCUGGGCAGUAACUGACGCUGAGGAGCGAAAGCGUGGGGAGCGAACAGGAUUAGAUACCCUGGUAGUCCACGCCGUAAACGGUGGGUACUAGGUGUGGGUUUCCUUCCUUGGGAUCCGUGCCGUAGCUAACGCAUUAAGUACCCCGCCUGGGGAGUACGGCCGCAAGGCUAAAACUCAAAGGAAUUGACGGGGGCCCGCACAAGCGGCGGAGCAUGUGGAUUAAUUCGAUGCAACGCGAAGAACCUUACCUGGGUUUGACAUGCACAGGACGCGUCUAGAGAUAGGCGUUCCCUUGUGGCCUGUGUGCAGGUGGUGCAUGGCUGUCGUCAGCUCGUGUCGUGAGAUGUUGGGUUAAGUCCCGCAACGAGCGCAACCCUUGUCUCAUGUUGCCAGCGGGUAAUGCCGGGGACUCGUGAGAGACUGCCGGGGUCAACUCGGAGGAAGGUGGGGAUGACGUCAAGUCAUCAUGCCCCUUAUGUCCAGGGCUUCACACAUGCUACAAUGGCCGGUACAAAGGGCUGCGAUGCCGUAAGGUUAAGCGAAUCCUUUUAAAGCCGGUCUCAGUUCGGAUUGGGGUCUGCAACUCGACCCCAUGAAGUCGGAGUCGCUAGUAAUCGCAGAUCAGCAACGCUGCGGUGAAUACGUUCCCGGGCCUUGUACACACCGCCCGUCACGUCAUGAAAGUCGGUAACACCCGAAGCCAGUGGCCUAACCG